Long non-coding RNA from Gigantopelta aegis, 1119 nucleotides. RefSeq lists it as uncharacterized. The transcript is spliced from 3 exons. The record is from RefSeq and is a predicted model, not a curated record. NCBI's taxonomy places the organism in Eukaryota, Metazoa, Mollusca, Gastropoda, Neomphalida, Peltospiridae.
AAACUCACCAACUGUCCCGAAAUUUGUACAGGUGACUUAGUCUGUAUAAUAAUGAUGACGAGUGGAUUAAUAAUUCAGCUGCGAGUAUAACACAGCCAGGUGAAAUAGAUAAUACUGUACACUGUUCUGUGUCUCCGAGAACGACUCCGAAUUAUUUGGUUGACCUUACUUUUCAAGACGUUUACUACAUAUCUGAAAAUGAACUGGAUGUCUUUGAGUGUGUUCAUAUUGACCAUAAUGGCUCAAGUCAGCCUCACACAAUGUGGAUACCUUGAACGAGUGUUUCCGGAAAGGCACGCACCCUUUCGUAAUGCGGCCGGCUACCGCUCUCGUUUGCUGAAUCAGUUGUUUGAGAACUAUUUUAUGUACGGAAUAAAACGAAACUACCCGUCACGAUUCGACAGGAUGGGUCGAUUUUACGGGAAACGUAGUUACCUCGCUUCCAACCUGGACCACCAGUAUCGUUUUGACAGAUCCUGAGUUACCAGCAUCGGCCAUUUCCGUUCCAAAGAUAAAACGACAAAUGGAAGACAAGUGGGGUGUUUUGACCGGAACAUGCAGCUGAAAUGCAAACUCAAACACGAACUCGGACAAAGAGAAAUCCAAUAUUGACGUAGCUUUUGUAAAAAUUUCAUAACUUAAUUUAGAUAUUGUGUUUGGUCAAUCGACAAUAACGAUUACUUCCGUCAUUUGUCGGAAAUUAGAUACGCUGUCCCAAAUUGGUUGUGACGAUGAUAUUUUUAGAAGAAGAAAAAAAGAAGUUAUUUUUGUUAUUUUGUUGAAAGUUAAAUAACAGGAAAGAAAGGCCCGCGGUGAAAGGUAACGUGAAAGUGGCUAACGUAAUCAUCCUUUCCGCCUGAGUGAUUUGGGAUUUGUUUGAGAUGUUUCAUCUACUACGUCAUGUUUGGCAAAAAGCUUAAUGAAAAAUGGAAAUUGAAUUUGGUAAGCAGACAUAAGACAGCAUUUUGUAAAAUCGUAUGUUGAAGGGGACAUGUGGUGAAGUUGGUGAUGUGUGUGUUCUCACACAUACUAACACACACACACACACACACACGCACGCACACACACUGUCAGUCACACACACCUACACACCUACACACACACACACACACAUACACA